GGGUUGUGAGGUUAAGCGACUAAGCGUACACGGUGGAUGCCCUGGCAGUCAGAGGCGAUGAAGGACGUGCUAAUCUGCGAUAAGCGUCGGUAAGGUGAUAUGAACCGUUAUAACCGGCGAUUUCCGAAUGGGGAAACCCAGUGUGUUUCGACACACUAUCAUUAACUGAAUCCAUAGGUUAAUGAGGCGAACCGGGGGAACUGAAACAUCUAAGUACCCCGAGGAAAAGAAAUCAACCGAGAUUCCCCCAGUAGCGGCGAGCGAACGGGGAGCAGCCCAGAGCCUGAAUCAGUGUGUGUGUUAGUGGAAGCGUCUGGAAAGGCGCGCGAUACAGGGUGACAGCCCCGUACACAAAAAUGCACAUGCUGUGAGCUCGAUGAGUAGGGCGGGACACGUGGUAUCCUGUCUGAAUAUGGGGGGACCAUCCUCCAAGGCUAAAUACUCCUGACUGACCGAUAGUGAACCAGUACCGUGAGGGAAAGGCGAAAAGAACCCCGGCGAGGGGAGUGAAAAAGAACCUGAAACCGUGUACGUACAAGCAGUGGGAGCACGCUUCGGCGUGUGACUGCGUACCUUUUGUAUAAUGGGUCAGCGACUUAUAUUCUGUAGCAAGGUUAACCGAAUAGGGGAGCCGAAGGGAAACCGAGUCUUAACUGGGCGUUAAGUUGCAGGGUAUAGACCCGAAACCCGGUGAUCUAGCCAUGGGCAGGUUGAAGGUUGGGUAACACUAACUGGAGGACCGAACCGACUAAUGUUGAAAAAUUAGCGGAUGACUUGUGGCUGGGGGUGAAAGGCCAAUCAAACCGGGAGAUAGCUGGUUCUCCCCGAAAGCUAUUUAGGUAGCGCCUCGUGAAUUCAUCUCCGGGGGUAGAGCACUGUUUCGGCAAGGGGGUCAUCCCGACUUACCAACCCGAUGCAAACUGCGAAUACCGGAGAAUGUUAUCACGGGAGACACACGGCGGGUGCUAACGUCCGUCGUGAAGAGGGAAACAACCCAGACCGCCAGCUAAGGUCCCAAAGUCAUGGUUAAGUGGGAAACGAUGUGGGAAGGCCCAGACAGCCAGGAUGUUGGCUUAGAAGCAGCCAUCAUUUAAAGAAAGCGUAAUAGCUCACUGGUCGAGUCGGCCUGCGCGGAAGAUGUAACGGGGCUAAACCAUGCACCGAAGCUGCGGCAGCGACGCUGAUGCGUUGUUGGGUAGGGGAGCGUUCUGUAAGCCUGCGAAGGUGUGCUGUGAGGCAUGCUGGAGGUAUCAGAAGUGCGAAUGCUGACAUAAGUAACGAUAAAGCGGGUGAAAAGCCCGCUCGCCGGAAGACCAAGGGUUCCUGUCCAACGUUAAUCGGGGCAGGGUGAGUCGACCCCUAAGGCGAGGCCGAAAGGCGUAGUCGAUGGGAAACAGGUUAAUAUUCCUGUACUUGGUGUUACUGCGAAGGGGGGACGGAGAAGGCUAUGUUGGCCGGGCGACGGUUGUCCCGGUUUAAGCGUGUAGGCUGGUUUUCCAGGCAAAUCCGGAAAAUCAAGGCUGAGGCGUGAUGACGAGGCACUACGGUGCUGAAGCAACAAAUGCCCUGCUUCCAGGAAAAGCCUCUAAGCAUCAGGUAACAUCAAAUCGUACCCCAAACCGACACAGGUGGUCAGGUAGAGAAUACCAAGGCGCUUGAGAGAACUCGGGUGAAGGAACUAGGCAAAAUGGUGCCGUAACUUCGGGAGAAGGCACGCUGAUAUGUAGGUGAGGUCCCUCGCGGAUGGAGCUGAAAUCAGUCGAAGAUACCAGCUGGCUGCAACUGUUUAUUAAAAACACAGCACUGUGCAAACACGAAAGUGGACGUAUACGGUGUGACGCCUGCCCGGUGCCGGAAGGUUAAUUGAUGGGGUCAGCGCAAGCGAAGCUCUUGAUCGAAGCCCCGGUAAACGGCGGCCGUAACUAUAACGGUCCUAAGGUAGCGAAAUUCCUUGUCGGGUAAGUUCCGACCUGCACGAAUGGCGUAAUGAUGGCCAGGCUGUCUCCACCCGAGACUCAGUGAAAUUGAACUCGCUGUGAAGAUGCAGUGUACCCGCGGCAAGACGGAAAGACCCCGUGAACCUUUACUAUAGCUUGACACUGAACAUUGAGCCUUGAUGUGUAGGAUAGGUGGGAGGCUUUGAAGUGUGGACGCCAGUCUGCAUGGAGCCGACCUUGAAAUACCACCCUUUAAUGUUUGAUGUUCUAACGUUGACCCGUAAUCCGGGUUGCGGACAGUGUCUGGUGGGUAGUUUGACUGGGGCGGUCUCCUCCUAAAGAGUAACGGAGGAGCACGAAGGUUGGCUAAUCCUGGUCGGACAUCAGGAGGUUAGUGCAAUGGCAUAAGCCAGCUUGACUGCGAGCGUGACGGCGCGAGCAGGUGCGAAAGCAGGUCAUAGUGAUCCGGUGGUUCUGAAUGGAAGGGCCAUCGCUCAACGGAUAAAAGGUACUCCGGGGAUAACAGGCUGAUACCGCCCAAGAGUUCAUAUCGACGGCGGUGUUUGGCACCUCGAUGUCGGCUCAUCACAUCCUGGGGCUGAAGUAGGUCCCAAGGGUAUGGCUGUUCGCCAUUUAAAGUGGUACGCGAGCUGGGUUUAGAACGUCGUGAGACAGUUCGGUCCCUAUCUGCCGUGGGCGCUGGAGAACUGAGGGGGGCUGCUCCUAGUACGAGAGGACCGGAGUGGACGCAUCACUGGUGUUCGGGUUGUCAUGCCAAUGGCACUGCCCGGUAGCUAAAUGCGGAAGAGAUAAGUGCUGAAAGCAUCUAAGCACGAAACUUGCCCCGAGAUGAGUUCUCCCUGACCCUUUAAGGGUCCUGAAGGAACGUUGAAGACGACGACGUUGAUAGGCCGGGUGUGUAAGCGCAGCGAUGCGUUGAGCUAACCGGUACUAAUGAACCGUGAGGCUUAACCUUACAACGCCGAAG
RNAcentral lists this ribosomal RNA (2925 nucleotides) under Escherichia coli. Its description in RNAcentral is "partial 23S ribosomal RNA". It matches the Rfam family "Bacterial large subunit ribosomal RNA". The record is from RNAcentral. Lineage: Bacteria; Pseudomonadati; Pseudomonadota; Gammaproteobacteria; Enterobacterales; Enterobacteriaceae.